UAUAAGCUAAAAUCAAAUAUGCAAUUAAAAUAUUAAAUAAGAGAAAGAGUUGGAGAGAGUGCACCGAAUUCGACAAUAAAUUGAGCACUUGAUUACGCAUAUCCGGUGUUACCACGAACAAACGUCAAGCAAGUAUUUCAAUGUUGAACACUUGAACUUCAAGCUUCGAAUUCCGAUUUCCGAAUGAGAAAUUAAGAUAAAUUAAAU
This 207-nucleotide long non-coding RNA is filed under the name Nicotiana benthamiana. RNAcentral describes it as "long non-coding RNA (NBEN_LNC035710)". Lineage: Eukaryota; Viridiplantae; Streptophyta; Magnoliopsida; Solanales; Solanaceae. The record is from RNAcentral.